CGGGGAAAAGAAACCAACAGGGAUUGCCUCAGUAACGGCGAGUGAAGCGGCAACAGCUCAAAUUUGAAAUCUGGAGCCUUCGGCUUCCGAGUUGUAAUUUGAAGAGGAUGUUUCGGUGCGACCUGGGCCUAAGUUCCUUGGAACAGGACGUCAUGGAGGGUGAGAAUCCCGUACAUGGCUGCAGGUUUGCUUCUAUGUGAAACUCCUUCGAAGAGUCGAGUUGUUUGGGAAUGCAGCUCAAAAUGGGUGGUAAAUUUCAUCUAAAGCUAAAUAUUGGCGGGAGACCGAUAGCGCACAAGUAGAGUGAUCGAAAGAUGAAAAGCACUUUGAAAAGAGAGUUAAACAGUACGUGAAAUUGUUGAAAGGGAAGCGCUUGCAAUCAGACUCGCCUUCAGUUGAUCAGCCUUCCUUCUGGUUGGUGCACUCUGCUGUUGGCGGGCCAGCAUCAGUUGGGGCGGUGGGAUAAAGGCGGCAGGAAUGUGGCUCCCCCCGGGGAGUGUUAUAGCCUGCUGUGUCAUGCCACCAGUCCCGACUGAGGUCCGCGGUUCGCCUAGGAUGCUGGCUUAAUGGUUGUAAGCGACCCGUCUUGAAACACGGACCAAGGAGUCUAACAUCUAUGCGAGUCUUUGGGUGUAAAACCCAUGGGCGAAAUGAAAGUGAACGGAGGUGGGAGUCUUCGGAUGCACCAUCGACCGAUCCUGAUGUUCUCGGAUGGAUUUGAGUAUGAGCAUAGCUGUUGGGACCCGAAAGAUGGUGAACUAUGCCUGAAUAGGGUGAAGCCAGAGGAAACUCUGGUGGAGGCUCGCAGCGGUUCUGACGUGCAAAUCGAUCGUCAAAUUUGGGUAUAGGGGCGAAAGACUAAUCGAACCAUCUAGUAGCUGGUUCCUAA
RNAcentral lists this ribosomal RNA (889 nucleotides) under Orbilia javanica. RNAcentral describes it as "LSU rRNA". It matches the Rfam family "Eukaryotic large subunit ribosomal RNA", at positions 51 to 961 of the family's 3401-position model. Lineage: Eukaryota; Fungi; Ascomycota; Orbiliomycetes; Orbiliales; Orbiliaceae. The record is from RNAcentral.